Long non-coding RNA from Scylla paramamosain (green mud crab), 3225 nucleotides. RefSeq lists it as uncharacterized. The record is from RefSeq and is a predicted model, not a curated record. The transcript is spliced from 5 exons. Lineage: Eukaryota; Metazoa; Arthropoda; Malacostraca; Decapoda; Portunidae.
AAUACACCCUCACAGGUGACCAAGGGCAGUACCGUCGCCAGGUGGCCACACAGCCCCCUCCUCAUACUGCUGGUGAACCUCAGCGUGACAGAUGAUCUCACUAAGGUUACAGGUCAGAGAGAUUACCUGUAUUUACAUCUAAGAUCUCUCGAUGGACGGCACUUGGAACUGAAUCCUGAGACGAAUCAUCUUGGCAGCGCGAGACUCAAGGGACGAGGCUGAUAUGAUUGUGUGUGGCGUAAAUAUAUCACGCCGCUGCCUCUAUGUAUUUACAGAACAAGCCAGCGCCAAGUACACGAGUUGGGACGAAACGACACCGUGACGCAGUGGGCCUCUGGUCUCGUGGAGAGUGAUCUGCCGUAAGAGGAAGAAUGCACGUGAGUUUUGUCCUGGCCGCGGAAUUCCGGAUAACGCAGGUGUCUGGGAGAGUGGAUGAUCAGCCAGGACUGAGUAGAUGCUGAGUCUCGGGAGUGAACUGUGUGGUGCAGGACCGUAUCGGUUAUGCAGUCUCUUUUAACGAGAGACAUCGUGGAGGAGGCAGGCGAGUGCUCUCAACACACGUGACGGAGCGGCGCCAUGGUAACUGUCACCGUGGCCAGGAAGUCUCUUGUGCUGAACACUGCAAUGUUGUGUUAUCAAGACUGUGUAUUGGUGCAGCGCAUACAGUCGGAUCACUAAGCGUGUUGUAGUGAUGAAACUAUGGAAACUAUGGCGAAUGAUUAUUGAUCGUUGGAAAAAAGCAUAGGUGUGAUAAUAAUUCGGUGCUUGAGUUACACUAACACUCCAUCACUACCGCCACCACGGCCAUCACCACCGCCAUAACCACCGCCGCUACUAAGAGUUGGAUCAGCAGAGGAGCCGACACCGCACAACUCGGCGCUCUUCCCCUGUGCCUGAGCAACACUGCGCUGACACGUCUGUCCGAUGCAGGGAGGAGACAGCAAGCGAGAGGCGAGGCUUGGCGGAGUUUUGACAUGCUAAGCAGUUAGUGUUCUUAAUAAGGAUCCAUGUCGGGGCAUCAUGAGAGAAAACAGCUUGUAUGCUGUCAUACGGACGCGGCGCUCACAACUUGGAAUCUCAAACAAGCCUCUCCCACACCCACCUCUAAUAUCUUCCACCACGGUGACAGAGAGAGAGAGAGAGAGAGAGAGAGAGAGAGAGAGAGAGAGAGAGAGAGAGAGAGAGAGAGAGAGAGAGAGAGAGAGAGAUUAGAUUAGAUUAGAUUAAAUUGUUUAUUAUCCACCAAAGUGGUUGUUACACAUUUUACAAGUAGUCAAGUAUACAAAUAUGAUUUAAUACCGGUGAUAUUUAACAAUGUAAAUACAAUAAAGUUGAGGAUCACUCGUCUAUAAUAGAUGCACCACAAAAAUGCUAAGUUAACGUACAUACACUGGUACACUUACAAUGAAAACAUCAAGGUGAAACAAACCUAACUAAAUAUAUUUUUGGCUAUUUUAUUUAUUUAUUUUAUUUUAUUUUUUUCAAGUCCAGCCUUAAAAGAGUUUAUAGAUGUGUCCUGUGUGAGGGAGAGCGGGAGAGAGUUCCACACUGUGGUUCCCAAUAUGACAGUGCGCCUAUCAGCAGAGAGUGUGUAGGUGGCCGGUACAAGCAACCUGUGCCUGUGUCUUGUGACGCUACUGGUGAUGGCUUGCCUGUUACAUAGUGAUAAAAACUAUUUUGGAUGAAACCCUCGUAAAAUCUUAAAUAUUGUUGUAGCCACUUGUAAAACAUGUCUGUGCUUUAUUCGUAGCCAUUGGAGUUCUUUAUAAAAUGGAGACACGUGAUCAUAUUUCUUAACUCCACCUAUGGCAACCCUUCCUGCAGCAUUCUGUAACUUUUGCACACCAGACAUUAAUGCAUCAUUUGUAGUCCCCAUAUUCUAAUACAACAGUUAAUUAAGGUUAAUACAAGGGCCUGUGUCACCAUGAUCCUGCUGUCCUUAUCUGGGUUUUCACUAAUUCAACUUACAUACAUUAAAAUACCCACCACUUUCCUUUUCAGCUCAUUAAUAUGGACGUCAAAAAGCAAGUAACUAUCCAAGCAAACUCACAAGUUUUUCACGUGCUUACUUGGAUGUAUUACAUUUCCAUUAACAUUCACAGUCGUGUUUGGGGGAGUGUGAGAUAAAAGCUGGCGAUUACCUAUAAAAACACACUGAGUCUUGGAAGAAUUAAACAUGAGACCAUUGUUUAGUUACAACAUCGGGAUCACCAUUUUUAUACAGGGGGACAACCAGUGCAUGUUUCCAUGACUCGGGGAACACGCCAGUCACCAAGGACAUGCUGAUGAUACAGCUGAGGAGAGGACAGUGACACAGAGCGCAUCCCGGACAAACUUUAAUGCUAUUCCGUCCGACCCGAUGGAGUUGGUUACAUCGAGGUCUUUAACGGUUAAGAUAAGGGUGUCAGCGUCCACGGGCUCAGGUCUACAAGCAGAGUUCACUUUAAUGGUAUUUACUUGAGGAUGAUGAACAGUUACUACUACCCCUUCACUUCUUAGUUCUUCCUGAGAACGUCUGAAAGUAGUCUCCCCAACAUUUGAAAAGAAUUUAUUGAAGUCAGUUUUUCAUUUACGUUACCAAAAUUGUGAGUAUCAUGUUUUUUUUUUUUCUGAUUAGGAAUAAUUUCCUCAGUAACUUUCCAUGUUGCAGAGAUAUUUCCUUUACAAUCUUUUAGACGACCUUGAUAAUGCUCUGCCUUAGAGGUAUUAAUGAGUGCUUUGAUAUGCUUUAGCAGCUUUAUAACGUUCCCUCAAUCCAACGUUAUUUGUACCGACUUUUAACUCUCUUUGCAACCUAUUACGUUCCUCCUUUGCCUCACGAACAUCGCCACUCAUCCAUGGUGCUAGUGUGCCUUUCACAGCUUUAGUCACAACAGGGGCACACACAUCAAGAGGAAAACUAAAAACCUCAUUAAAAAUAUACACUUAUUUGUUAAGGUCGUCAGUUAAAAACACAUUAUUGAUACAAUACACAUUGUAUAAAAGCAGCAAACAGAAAGUGUCUUUAUCACAGUGCUUCAGAUCAGGGAGGCUUUUUAUCACCGGUAUUUUGCGAGGUUUUCUUACAUUUAUAGCGACGGACACGAGAUCAUGAUCUGCAAUUAACUGAGGGACCACGUCAAGGGAUAAAACUACCUCAGGUUUAUUAGUGAUAAUAAGAUCCAGUAGAGUAGCUCAAUGUCAGGUUUUUCUUGUGGGUUUAUCAAUAAAACUGAAUCAACUUAU